This 305-nucleotide ribosomal RNA is filed under the name uncultured bacterium. RNAcentral describes it as "bacterial SSU rRNA". It matches the Rfam family "Bacterial small subunit ribosomal RNA", at positions 333 to 636 of the family's 1533-position model. The record is from RNAcentral.
UGACCUACGGGGGGCAGCAGUGAGGAAUAUUGGUCAAUGGGCGGAAGCCUGAACCAGCCAAGUCGCGUGAGGGAAUAAGGCCCUACGGGUCGUAAACCUCUUUUGCCGGGGAGCAAGGGCCGGGACGAGUCCCGGUCCGGAGAGUACCCGGAGAAAAAGCAUCGGCUAACUCCGUGCCAGCAGCCGCGGUAAUACGGAGGAUGCGAGCGUUAUCCGGAUUUACUGGGUGUAAAGGGAGCGUAGACGGUGCGCCAAGUCUGGAGUGAAAUGCCGCAGCUUAACUGCGGAACUGCUUUGGAAACUGG